AAGUGCUGCGCUGGGCGCCGCGGGAUGCCGAGCUGAUCGAGCCCUGGAGGCCCAGCCUGGGCGAGCUGCUGGCCAGGCCCGAGGCUCUGACGCCCAGCAAUCUGUUCCUGCUUGCAGUCCUCGGGGCCCUCGCAUCAGCGAGUGCGACAGUGUUGGCGUGGUGAGUUCUGGGGACUCCGGAGCCCCAGCAUCUAGCUCCCCGCUGUCUCAGAUCCCACCGAGAAGUCUGGGUUCCCA
RNAcentral lists this long non-coding RNA (237 nucleotides) under Homo sapiens (human). RNAcentral's name for it is "long non-coding RNA NONHSAT239523". Lineage: Eukaryota; Metazoa; Chordata; Mammalia; Primates; Hominidae. The record is from RNAcentral.